UUUUAGGAAUGUGCUCUUUUAGUACCUUGGAGUGGAAUUUGGGUGCAAUUUCUGUAAUUUCUUACACUUACCACAGUACCUUAAAGAUUCUAAUUAUUUUACCUUAACUGCCUUUUAUAAUACUUUAAUUGUUUAUUACCUUAAUACAUUUAUUGUAGGCUUAAAAUUAAAGAUACUGUUUGAUUAGCUCUGCACCCAUCUACAAGCGAAGGGAUAACUUUUUUUGUGGUACCAGCCAAAUUCUCCCAUAUCCUCCACCAAGAUAAAUGAUAUCAUGUUUUCUUUUCUAAUAUCAAUACUCCUAACUGUGAGCUAAUGGCCAUAUUAAUCCAAAUAUCAAAAUACAAAUUUUGUAAAAUUAUCCAUCUAGUGUAAAAUGUGAAUCUGUAGCACUUUUUUGAGUUCCUCUGACAGCUCUUUUUAGGUCAUAAAAACUUCCUCUUAAAAAAAGAACAUGGGGAUAUUACAUAAUCUUCAGUAACCACUUUCUCUUGAUCAGGUUUUUUCACUAUCAAGGUAAAAGGAUGUGUAUAUGAGAACAUUUUACAUGAGGAGCUUAAAUCUGGAAGUUAAAUACGAAGUAAAUUCCACAGUUUUGAAAUGGCUUAGUCAUGUGGAAAAGAAACACCCUUCUGCAAUUCUGUGUUUGUUUAUCAGAGCCUAGAUAAUAAUUUUAUGGUUCUCAUAAUUUCUAUAGACAAAUAAAAAAUUUCAGGUCACAAAAAAAACUACAACAAUAUUUAAACAUACAAUUCUAUUCUUCCCAGAAGUGAGCAUGAAUGAAUGAAAUUGGGCUAUAGAAGCAUUGAUUAUCAUCACAUAUACAUUAAAGGAGUUUUCUCUGGCUGCUUUGGCUGGGAUUAAAUGCCACGGUGGUUUCCCCACCACCCUCUUCAACCUGCACGAGCCUGAGGAAGAGGACCUGUGCCUUAAUCGCUGUGUAGCCAAGGACUUUGAGAGCUGUGGAAAUGACGAAUACUUUGUAGUUUACCAAACCCAAGUGCAAGGUUUUAAAGGCGAGAGGGACCACUGGCGCAGUGGCAGGACAGUUUGCAUAAAGACACACGAGAGCGGAAGGAAAGAAAUCGACGCCUUCGACUCCAGCAUUCUGAUGAUCCGCAACCCCUACAAGGCCCUCAUGGCUGAAUUCAACCGCAAGUAUGGCGGCCAUAUUGGAUUCGCUUCUCAGGCUCAGGCUCUGGAAAGGAAAGGGUCAGAUUGAGUAUACAUGACAGUUGCAUUGGAAGAUUUAGCAAUUAGACAAUAGAUUUUGCAAUUUUUAUU
Molecule: long non-coding RNA, 1284 nt
Organism: Tachysurus fulvidraco (yellow catfish)
Lineage: Eukaryota; Metazoa; Chordata; Actinopteri; Siluriformes; Bagridae
Exons: 3
Source: RefSeq, a predicted model, not a curated record